UACGUAGGGUGCGAGCGUUAAUCGGAAUUACUGGGCGUAAAGCGCGCGCAGGCGGCGCCGCAAGUCAGGCGUGAAAUCCCCGAGCUUAACUUGGGAAUGGCGCUUGAAACUACGGUGCUGGAGUGUGGCAGAGGGAGGUGGAAUUCCACGUGUAGCGGUGAAAUGCGUAGAGAUGUGGAGGAACACCAAUGGCGAAGGCAGCCUUCUGGGCCAACACUGACGCUCAUGCACGAAAGCGUGGGGAGCAAACAGG
Molecule: ribosomal RNA, 253 nt
Filed under: uncultured bacterium
Lineage: Bacteria
Description: partial 16S ribosomal RNA
Rfam family: Bacterial small subunit ribosomal RNA
Source: RNAcentral